This 478-nucleotide ribosomal RNA is filed under the name uncultured bacterium. RNAcentral's name for it is "partial 16S ribosomal RNA". It matches the Rfam family "Bacterial small subunit ribosomal RNA", at positions 28 to 523 of the family's 1533-position model. The record is from RNAcentral.
GACGAACGCUGGCGGCAUGCCUAACACAUGCAAGUCGAGCGGGCAGAUCCCUUCGGGGUGAAGCUAGCGGCGGACGGGUGAGUAACACGUGGGCAACCUGCCUCAUAGAGGGGAAUAGCCUUCCGAAAGGAAGAUUAAUACCGCAUAAGAUUGUGGCUUCGCAUGAAGCAGCAAUUAAAGGAGCAAUCCGCUAUGAGAUGGGCCCGCGGCGCAUUAGCUAGUUGGUGAGGUAACGGCUCACCAAGGCGACGAUGCGUAGCCGACCUGAGAGGGUGAUCGGCCACAUUGGGACUGAGACACGGCCCAGGCUCCUACGGGAGGCAGCAGUGGGGAAUAUUGCACAAUGGGGGAAACCCUGAUGCAGCAAUGCCGCGUGAGUGAUGACGGCCUUCGGGUUGUAAAGCUCUGUCUUCGGGGACGAUAAUGACGGUACCCGAGGAGGAAGCCACGGCUAACUACGUGCCAGCAGCCGCAGUAA